Long non-coding RNA from Oncorhynchus nerka (sockeye salmon), 1409 nucleotides. RefSeq lists it as uncharacterized. The transcript is spliced from 3 exons. The record is from RefSeq and is a predicted model, not a curated record. Lineage: Eukaryota; Metazoa; Chordata; Actinopteri; Salmoniformes; Salmonidae.
CAUUCGAAUGCUGUAAUUUUAUCUAAACCAUCAGGUGUACGCCGAUCCCAGUUAAGUAACUCAUGCAAAGAGUUAAAGCGUAAUUAUGUGUUUUAUCUCCAGUACUCUGCCAUGAUUGUCAGUUAUGUAGCUGCUCUACUGAUAAUCUCAGUGCGUCCUUGCUGGGAUGACACAAUCAGUCUACUACCGGAGAAUAUCAACACCAAACACAUUGGUUCACCGUUCCACGGGAGCGGACAGUACACAGCAUACCAUAAUGUUCUGAAUAAUGGCCAAGUCUACCUCGCUCCUUAUUCUACUGAACCGCUCAGGCGUAACAAACACAAGUCCAACAUUUAUCGGAAACUGUUAAACUACCUGUUCACUACCCUCCUGCUCUCCGGGGAUGUACAACUCAAUCCUGGGCCCAAUAUCACCGAGCCAGUGAUACGCACCGGAGUGGAGAGCGGUGGAAGGCCUCGUCCACUGGUCGUCGCCGCUGUGGAGGUGGGCUUGUCCUGCUGUAGUCUCCACAACUGGAUCACACUGGCACGGGAUGUCCAUGCACUGGAUGGACUGAGGGAUGCACUCCUGUUGGACUGGAAAACAAAGAGACAUGGUCAGUGUCUGGAUCUUCAUCUUCUGCCAUGGUGGAUGAGUUACCUUUUCUGGUAAAUACAGGGCCUUUUCUCUUUCCCACCGGAAAAGGGCAGCUACAGACCCAAGUGUUGUCACUGGGUUUCCGGUCAAUCCCACCUGAAAGACAACAAAAGUUACUUUUACCAGCUAGCUAAAUUGAUUACUGAAAUGAUAUCUACAUUAAAAUACCAUAACCCACAGACUUGACUAUAGUAACAGUAAAAUAGACUGGGCUUUGGUCUAUCUUUACAUCUAAAAUCAUACUAUGUGGAUGGGAUAUUUCUGCUGAGAUGAAGGAAUUAUCUGGAAUGCUCAACUAGAUGAUCAGGACAGUCUAGGUUACUAUUUGCCAGAAGAGGUGAAGUAUUGCAAUGAGAUAUACAACUACUUCUGAUUCUAAUUCUCAAGAGGAAAGUUAAAACCUUCAGCCAUAAGGUCACUGAAGAGGACCAACAGUGAUAGGGGGAUUGUCUGAAAGGUACUGACAUGCAGGGAAAAUAACAUAAGGAUUUUGGGCACUGGCCAGCAGACCAAGAUUUCUACAUUCAGGUCCUAAAUCUGUGGCAUGCAAUGUUUACAAAGAAACAUUUUCAAUAAAGAGGUCACAACAUUCAUUAUGCUAUUAUAUGCUUGUUUUACUUGUAAGGAGGGUAAUGUGCAUUGUACAUGUAACUACAGUCUAUACUGAACUAUAUCUAUACUGAAAAAAAUCUAAACGCAACAUGUAAAGUGUUGGUCCCAUGUUUCAUGAGCUGAAAUUAAAGAUCCUUGAAAAGGUUAUUUCCCUCAAA